RNAcentral lists this ribosomal RNA (514 nucleotides) under Lepiota sp. RNAcentral describes it as "partial small subunit ribosomal RNA". It matches the Rfam family "Bacterial small subunit ribosomal RNA", at positions 412 to 897 of the family's 1533-position model. The record is from RNAcentral. Lineage: Eukaryota; Fungi; Basidiomycota; Agaricomycetes; Agaricales; Agaricaceae.
CUCAUCUAAAUCAUUGAAAUGGUAUUUAAGAUAACGUAAGGGAUAAAAAUGAUAUUACCUUACUAUAAGUGUUGUCCAACAUUACUGGUGCCAGAAGACUCGGUAACGCCAGAAACGCAAACGUUAGUCGUCUUAAUCAGGCGUAAAGGGUAAGUAGGCUGCUUUAAAAGUUUUUAAAUUAAAAAGCUCUUUAAAACCUAAAGUAGCAAAAAAUUUUGCUGCUUCUAGAAAAGUAAUUUAAAAUUGAAUUAAAGCUAGAAUCAAACAUAGGAUAAUCUAAAUAAUAUUUAGAGUAAGGCUGAUAUCUUUAGAUACUAAAUGGAAUACUAAAGGUGAAAACUUUUAUCUAGUACUGAUUGACGCUGAGGAACGAAGGUGAGAAUAGAAAACAGGAUUAGAGACCCAGGUAUCUCUCACUGUCAACGAUGAAUGGUGGUUGUUAGUAUGCAAAAAUACUAGUAACGAUGUUAACGCGAUAACCAUUCCGCCUUGCGAGUACGGUUGCCAAAACUGA